This 472-nucleotide ribosomal RNA is filed under the name uncultured bacterium. Its description in RNAcentral is "partial 16S ribosomal RNA". It matches the Rfam family "Bacterial small subunit ribosomal RNA", at positions 28 to 507 of the family's 1533-position model. The record is from RNAcentral.
GACGAACGCUGGCGGCGUGCUUAACACAUGCGAGUCGAACGCUGAAGCUUGGUGCUUGCACUGGGUGGAUGAGUGGCGAACGGGUGAGUAAUACGUGAGUAACCUGCCCUUGACUCUGGGAUAAGCCUGGGAAACUGGGUCUAAUACUGGAUACGACAUGUCACCGCAUGGUGGUGUGUGGAAAGGGUUUUACUGGUUUUGGAUGGGCUCACGGCCUAUCAGCUUGUUGGUGGGGUAAUGGCUCACCAAGGCGACGACGGGUAGCCGGCCUGAGAGGGUGACCGGCCACACUGGGACUGAGACACGGCCCAGACUCCUACGGGAGGCAGCAGUGGGGAAUCUUGCACAAUGGGCGGAAGCCUGAUGCAGCGACGCCGCGUGAGGGAUGACGGCCUUCGGGUUGUAAACCUCUUUCAGCACGGAAGAAGCGAAAGUGACGGUACGUGCAGAAGAAGCGCCGGCUAACUACGUG